Molecule: ribosomal RNA, 440 nt
Filed under: uncultured bacterium
Lineage: Bacteria
Description: partial 16S ribosomal RNA
Rfam family: Bacterial small subunit ribosomal RNA
Source: RNAcentral
CCUACGGGUGGCAGCAGUGGGGGAUAUUGCACAAUGGGGGGAACCCUGAUGCAGCGACGCCGCGUGGGUGAAGAAGCGCCUCGGCGCGUAAAGCUCUGUCAGCAGGGAAGAAAAUGAAGGUACCUGAAGAAGAAGCCCCGGCUAACGACGAGACAGCAGCCGCGGUAAUACGGAGGGGGCAAGCGUUAUCCGGAUUUACUGGGUGUAAUGGGGGUGCAGACGGCGUUGCAAGUCAGUAGUGAAAGCCCGGGGCCCAACCCCGGGACUGCUCUUGGAACUGCGUGGCUGGAGUGCAGGAGGGGCAGGCGGAAUUCCUGGUGUAGCGGUGAAAUGCGUAGAUAUCAGGAAGAACACCGAUGGCGAAGGCAGCCUACUGGACUGCAACUGACGUUGAGGCCCGAAAGCGUGGGGAGCAAACAGGAUUAGAUACCCUAGUAGUC